CGAAAAUCUUAAACCCUAAAAAGGAGAAGACUGUGCGGCGGAGUGAGGCGGAGUCGGAAGAGGUUUCCUUGGGAGUGCAAAGAGGUUGCGACUACUUAAAUAUUGAGGCCGAAGUUCUCAUUUGGCGAAAUCGCGAGGGGAGGAUUGUGUCUGGAGUGCGGUGGAGUGAGACGAAGUCAGGAGAGGUUUUCUUGGCAUGUGAAUAGAUUGCGGUUGUGGCCAAAGUUUUGGUUUGGCAAAAAGGUGUGUAUGGUUUAUUUUAUUUUAUUUGUGUGGUCGUUUUUUGAAUGCAUUGGUGUUGUGGCCGUUUUGGUUUUGAAUGCAUUGUUUAGGUUUAGGGUUUAUUUUGAGAAAUGUGUAACAGGACAUGAUGAAUGUGGGUCAUUUUUUUAAUAACCUGCCUUGUCGAAGUGGUAAAGCUUUGUGUUUGGAAGUGUUAUAUCCAUGAAUGACAAUGAUGUUGUACGUAGCUUGUUGCUUAGGAACACCAAAAUUGUCAGUAGUGUAAGGUGAGGACCACCAAUGCAUCCACAUAUUUUAGGAGGUGGGGGUUUUAUGCCUUGUAAACCAACCGAAGGAGAAUGAACACCAAUGACACUGAUACUGGAAUCACCAUUGGUCGAAGAAGACUGCAACAUCAAACUUAUGAUCCUUCAAUCAAGCAAUAUUUAAAUAGUGUUGUACCUUUUUUACCAAUUUAUAAGUAUUUUUUAAUAAUUAGGAAAUGAGAAAAGUAAUCUAUAGUGUUUCUAGUGUUGUACCCAAACAAAGGUGUUUUCGCAUGUGAAAGUUUAUCUUAAUAUGGUGCAAGGCGAUAUUUUUGUGAGCCUUGUAUAUUAUGUCUUUUUCUUUCCCUUUAUUUUAUUUUUUUUGCAUCGUCCCUUCUCCAAAUGUUUUACUUUAUAUUUUUUUUUAAGUUAUAGUACAUACUUCACCUCUGUAAUGAUUAAACUACAUCAUAAGCGUAAGUAACUUAAGUAUGUGGUUUGUGUAGAUAAGUGGUGACCCGUGUUAGAAUAUAUGACCUUAAACAAGAGAGGGGGUGAAUUGUUUAUAAGAUAUUUUCGCAAACUUUGAAGGUAUAAUGAAAUUCAAUGCCGAAUUACAGAGAAAAGAAUCAAGGAAACAAAUACCCAAAACUGUUUUAAGAUGUUAUCAAAAAAACAAUCGGUUGUUUUGUCGAAACAAUCGAUUGUUUUCAUCAGCAAUUAAUAAAAACAACUUAAAACAUAUAUUUGUGAGAUCAGGGAAAGAGAGAAUCACACAAACAGAUUUAUACUGGUUCACUCUUACACCAAGAGCUACAUCCAGUCCCCAGAAACCACUAGGUAAAUCCACAAUGAAAUCAAAACCAGAUUACAAACAUCACACACCAAAGUAGUGACCUUGAACCCCUCAAGAAACACACUACCUUUGGCAAACCACACCAAGAAUGUUGAUCUUUAACACCUCAAGAACACACAACAGUCCUUGGCAACACAACUACAGAAAUACAAUAAUCAAUGAAGAAGGGAAUAGAAUACACCUAGGUACUACAAAGCUUAAAGUUCAGAAUUACAACCCAAUCCUAUUACACACACUUAAGAAUGAUCCAAAGCUCUUUCAAAUCUUGGAAAAACUGUUUUGAUAAACUCUUUCUCUUACUUCAAGAUUAGGAGUGUAAAACCACCUUUAUAUAGACCAACCAAGUGGUCAAAAGCAUUUAAUAAAGGAGCCAAGGUAAUUAGGAUCAUUUAAACCAUAUUAAAACCACUUAACAUAAUUCUGUUAAGGUUUACAAGAAAACAAUCGAUUGUUUUGUUGAAAUAAUCGGUUGAAUUGACUUAACAACAAAAUCAAGCUUUUCAAAACCUUUUCAAAAACUGCUAAGGUAAAACAACCUGUUGUUUCGAAAUUUCAACCUGUUGAAACUACUAAGGUAAAACAACAUGUUGUUUCAAAAACAACCUGUUGAAGUUUCAACAAUACUUUAGAAAACUCAUCUUUUCAAAAGGUUAAAGAUUCAAAUUAACUUGGAUCAUCUUAAGGAGUGAAUUAACAAGUUUCAAACAACUAGACAACACACACACCCAACAACAAGGUCUUCAAGCUUUCCUCUUGGAUUUGGAGACAUCAAAGCAUCUUAUUCAACAAUCUCCCCCUAUUUGAUGAAGACAAAUCCCUGAUUUAUUUGUGUUGUUGUUUUUAAACUUGAAAGGUCCUGCAAAAUAAAAUUUGUGCAUAUACAAAGCAAGUAUAUCAGCAGGAUACCAAGGCACACAAAACCAGUUUUCUGCAUAAGCCUUUAAGCAGAAAAACCAGUCAUAUAGCCAUAAAAACCAGUGCCAAAAUGAGACUUGUGUGCAACAGAACUAUGGUGAAUAAGAGCAUGGUAGCAACAGAAUUUAAACCAUGAUAAAACCAAAUAACACCAGAGUGUAGCAGCAGCAUUACAACACAUAAAACCACACCAUUCUCCCCUAUUUGUCUUCACAAAUAGAAUGAAAGGGAUAAAAACAGAAUAACCUGUUUGCAUAAGUGUUUUCCAGCAUUGAAAACCAGCAUAUAGCAGCAACAUAAUAAACCAUAAAACCAGUGUGUGUAGUAGCACCAUUGCAGCAACAAAUCUUUGAUACCAUAUCAGAAUUGUAGCAAAAUUUAUGGUGUAUUACAGCUAUGACAACAGUAAAAUCAAAGUACCAUAGACCCCAGAAAUUUCAGCAAGGCGACCACAGUUUCUCCCCCAAUCUUUUCUUCAUCCAGCAAUUCAAGUUGGUCAAAUGAUUGCUCAAGAGGUGGAUUUGGUAGAAAUAUUCUUUCUUAUGUUAAGAGCAAACCUUACCGACGUUCCAAAGAUACAUUCUCAAAUAUUCAUCAACUCCAUGACCACCAAUGUGGUUGCCAUUCAUAAAAAGCUUUGAAUUUCAAGGAAAACAAAGAAUAUAUCUCUUUAUGAUCUAAUUCAGAGGCACAAUGAAUGCAAAUUUGACUCAUAAUGGGUUAUGAAAGAAAAUAAACAAUUGUAAUCAUACAUAAGAAAUCAUAACAACUUUAUUCAAAUGUACUAGAGGUAAAACAAUCGGUUGUUUCGUGAAAACAAUCGGUUGUUUCGUGAAAACAAUCGGUUGUUUUUCUGAGACAACAAGAAAAUGUUAUUUUUCAAAGCAAAUCAUCUUUCAAAGUGAUGGGAAAUGCAUAAUGAAAUACAUUCAUACCUUUGCUUUACCUCAAGCAUGUUUAGAAUUUCAUUUGGCCUUAUGAAGCCAAAAACAUAGGAUGAACAUAUACAACUUACUUUACAAAGGAUGAACAUAUACAAGUUACUAAGCCUCUCACACCAUACUGCCUUGGAGCUUGCUUAAGCCAAUACAAUGCCUUUUUCAGCUUGUAUACAUGGUUAGGAUGUUGAUGAUCUUCAAAGCCUAGUGGUUGUUCAACAUAGACUUCCUCAUUGAUGAUUCCAUUAAGGAAAGCACACUUAACAUCCAUUUGAAACAAUUUGAAUCCACUCAUAUAAGCAAAGGCCAACAACAACCUUACAGCUUCUAAUCUUGCAACUGGAGCAAAGGUUUCACCAUAAUCUAUGUCUUCUUCUUGAUUAUAACAUUUAGCCACAAGCCUUGCCUUAUUUCUUGUAAUUACUCCAGAUUCAUCCAGCUUGCUUCUGAAAACCCAUUUGCAUUCAAUGAUGUUCUCCACUGAAAGAUCCCUUGGAAUUCUCCAUUCCUUUGGCAGCUCUUCUUGUUGCUGAAUUUCAACCAGUUGUUUCGCAGAAUCAAUCGGUUGUUUUUCUGGACAGGAUUCCAGCUUCUCCAAGGUGAUGUUCUGCUCAUCUUCUUCUGCAUGAACCUUUGUAGAACCCUGAUCACUAUGAAUGAUUUCAUCAAACACCAUAUGGACAGAGUCCUCCACAGUUAUAAGCCAUCAACAACACCAGAUCAAACUCUUUAUUCUUGAAGUUUCUUUACAUAGGUCAUGAAUUUUGACUUGUCAAGAAUACGAGUAAGGUGUAUAUGCUCUUGAACCAUAAGCAUCACUUUGAUCAUUCUUCAUCAUAGCACCUGUACUUGAAAGGUCCUGUAACAUAGAAUUGAUGCAUAUACAAAGCAAGUAUAGCAGCAAGAUAACAAGACACACAUAAACCAGUUUUCUGCAUAUACAACAUUAGCAGAAAAACCAGAAAAAUUGAAGUAAUCAAGUGGUUUCAAAUGCAUAGAAGCAACAACAUAAUGCAUCAGUUUUUAAAACUAUCUUAUACAACCAAAUCAAGCAUAAACAACUCCCCCUAUUUGCUCUCACAAAUAGAAUAUGAGAAGGGUUGUACAAAGCAGAAAUCAGAAUGAUAAUAUAGUAGACCAGCAGUACAAACAAUGUUGACAUUUCAAUAAUAGAAAAUGAUAUAGAGCUUUUAAGAAAACAAGUGGAUAUAAUCUUUUAUUAUCAGAUUCUGAGGCACAUUCAAUGUAUAUUUGUCCAAAAGCAAGAUUUGAAAUAAGAGGAAUGGUUUAAUCAUGCAUAAGCAAACUUGGCAGCAUUAUACAAAGGUGCCAGAGGAAAAACAAUCGGUUGUUUUACUGUGACAACAAAAAGAACAUUUUUCAUAACCAAAAAUUACCUUUUAAAUUGAUGAAAAUGCAGUAUGCAAUUUGUUCAUACCUUUGCAUAGAGAACCCCAAUAGUUUCACUCAAAAAGAAGACUUUGAGAUGUUCAUAUGGUCACAAGGCACACUUACAUAAAUUGAGAAAUGAAAACACACAUAGUCUCUUUGAAGUUUCUUUUGAUCAACACUAUGCAUGUGCCAAGGAUGUCUCUUGACAUUCAAAGAACCCUGCAAGACAUAUACAAUUGAGAAGUGUAGGUACAAAGAUUGUAUUUGCUCUUGAUAUUCUUCCCUUUAGCAGUUAUUCUUCAAGCUCAAAAAUGACAAGAAAAGAUUUAAGAAGCAAGAUUUGUCCCCAUUAUGAAUUUGGGUCCAAUUAUGUUAGUAGAAGUCUUACGAACCUCAGAAACCUUAGGAACCCAUUUCAAAAUACCUUUAGGAACAAAAAACUUCCUAAUAUUUCAUAAUCUAACUGAGUGGCCUCUCUUCAUGCAAUAAAAACAUGUGACAACCGGUUGUUUUGAUUUUUCAAUCGAUUGUUUUUCUGACAGCUUUGAAAAAGACUUUGAAAACUCAGUUUUCUUACUCUGUGGAUUAAAACCUAAACCUCCUUUUCCAAAAACACAAUUUUGAGAUGCCAAGACAGUCUUAAAGUUGGAUUUACCCUUUGAAAGCCUAUCCACAGUUUUCACAAGGUAGUGAACCUUCUUUUCAAGAGAUUCACAAUUUUCACAAACAAGUGAGUCACACUUGCAAGAAGAGUUCAUGUAAAGCAUUUCUAGAUUUUCAAAAUCAGUUUUUGAAUUCUCCAACUCUUCUUCUAGUGCCUUGACUCUGUUUUCAAGCCAGAUAUUCAACCCUUUUAACCGAUUGUUCAAGAUUGUCAAUCGGUUAGCUUCCUCAUGUGUUUCUUUAAAAGCUUGAAGAAGUUGACUAUAAUUUUUAGCAUUUAAAGAAGGACAAGAACUUACACUACUUGCAUCAUCUUCUUCUUUGGCCAUCUAACACAGAUUGGCUUCUUUUUUAUUUUGCUUUCUUCUCCUUCUUGCUUGACUUGAUCCAGAUUCUUCUUUUGUCAUAAGACAAACCUCCUUUCUGGAUUCUGAAGAGAAAGAUACAGUAGAAGAUUCUUCUUUGUCCAUCAAGGCACUCCUUGGAUUCUUGUGAUACUCUUCAAGGGUAUUCCACAUUUCUUUGGCAGAAAUACAUUUUGAAACCUUGAGCAAUUCAUUAGAAUCAAUUGUAGAUACAAUGAUGUUCAUAGAUACACAAUCAAGAUGUUCUCUUUCAGAAGAAACAUUUUCAGAUAUAGGCAUGAGAUAGCUACUUGUAAUAACAUUCCAGAUCUUUCUAUCUAUAGAUUCAACAAAGAAUUUCAUUCUUAUGCACCACAAAUCAUAGUUCAUAUCACAGAACAAAGGUGGUUUGUUUAAUAACUUUCAAGAAUCAAGCUCUGAUACCAAUUAUUAGAAUAUAUGGCCUUAAAAAAGAGGGGGGGUGAAUUGUUUAUAGGAGAUUUUCACAAACAUUGAAGAUAUAAUGAAAUUCAAUGUUGAAUUACAGAGAAAAGAAUCACGGAAACAAAAACCCAAAAUUGUUUUAAAAUGUUAUCAGAAAAACAAUCGGUUGUUUUGUCGAAACAAUCAGUUGUUUUUAUCAGCAGUUAAUAAAAACAACUUAAAAGAGAUAUUUGUGAGAUUAGGGAAAGAGAGAAUCACAAAAAAAAAUUUAUAUUGGUUCACUCUUACACCAAGAGCUACAUCCAGUCCCCAAAAACUACUGGGUAAUCCACUAUGCAAUCAAAACCAGAUUAUAAACAUCACACACCAAAGUAGUGACCUUGAACCCCUCAAGAAACACACUACCUUUGGCAAACCACACCAAGAAUGUUGAUAUUGAACACCUCAAGAACACACAACAGUCAUUGGCAACACAACUACAGAAAUACAGUAAUCAAGGAAGAAGGGAAUAGAAUACACCUGGGUAUUACAAAGCUUAAAGUUCAGAAUUACAACCCAAUCCUAUUCCACACACUUAAGAAUGAUCCAAAGCUCUUUCAAAUCUUGGAAAAACUGUUUUGAUAAACUUUUUCUCUUACAUCAAGAUUAGGAGCGUAAAACCACCUUUAUAUAGACCAACCAAGUGGUCAAAAGAAUUUAAUAAAGGAGCCAAGGUAAUUAGGAUCAUUUAAACCAUAUUAAAACCACUUAAUAGAAUUUUGUUAAGGUUUACAGGAAAACAAUCGAUUGUUUUAUCGAAACAAUCUGAUGUGAUUCCACUAGCCAUAUGGAGAAUGAUUUUUGACAUUCUUAGGAAUCACCUUGAGCUGGACAUUAUUGAGGCACUUUUCUUAGAAUUGGAUCAUUGUUCUAAGACAAGAACUCACCAAAAACUAGUACCAAAUCCCAAAGUCAUUUGGAUGUUCCACAUAUUGUCAAAUUGAACCAAAAGAGAUGGAGGAAAGGCAAAAACACUAAUUAACAAAACAAAACAGUAAGGUACCGAAUCAAAUUGCUGGAAUUGAAGAAGAAAAGAUGAAAAACAACCAAGAACACAAAUGAACCAUAGCUACACAAUAACAAGCUGAAAUUGCCGAACCAAAACAACUAGGAAACAAGCUAAGACAAGGAAAUUAACAAGAGAAGAAAGGAAGGAGAAGAGAAUGCUCAUGAAGAUGGAAGAAAGGUUGGAUGAUCACGCCACUAGAAGUAUGGAUGCUCCUAGAUGAGUGUGCAAGCCGCCACUUGAUGAAACCAUGAUCCUUCAAGAUAAGACUAGAGAAUAAGGCUCAAAAGCUCUCCAAUGCUCACUCCAAUUUUGAGUAUAGUUUCUUUAGAUAAAUUCAAAUCUGAAAAAUACAAAGAGAGCACCUCUAUUUAUAGCCUAAGGUGCUGAAAUAUAAGCUACACAAAUUCAAAAACUCCCUCCCAAAAAGCUUCUAGAAUUUGCGCCUAAAACAAAGCAUGAGGAAGGUGUGACUUCUUCCUUCACUUUGGCACCUCCUUUUCUACUCCUACACCUAUCUACUAACACACCCCCCCUAAGACUCCUAACUAAAGACUAAAAGAUGCUUUAACAAUAGAGGUUUCUAAUGUUUCCCUCUAAGCUCCUUCAACAAUAUUCUUUAUUAUUUAAUACUUGGCCUUGCCCUUCAUAGGAAGGACUUGGGUUUGGGCUUGGGCUUUGGGCUUGGGCCUCUCUUUAUUUUAUGUCUUCUUUUAAUUUUGAGAAGACUAGAAGGAAGAACUUCAAGUGUGAUGGUGAAUUGCCUCUUCCUUCAUUAAUAAAAACCUCCUUUACUUGACUCUCAUCACAAUCGGUUGAAUUGACUUGACAGCAAAGUCAAGCUUUUCAAAAACUGCUAAGGUAAAACAACCUGUUGUUUCAAAAAUUUCAACCUGUUGAAACUACUAAUGUAAAACAACCUGAUGUUUCAAAAAAUAACCUGUUGAAGUUUCAACAACACUUUAGAAAACUCAUCUUUUCAAAAGGUUAAAGAUUCAAAUGAACUUGGAUCAUCUUAAGGAGUGAAUUAACAAGUUUCAAACAACUAGACAACACACACACACACCCAACAACAAGGUCUUCAAGCUUUCCUCUAGGAUUUGGAAACAUCAAAGCAUCUUGUUCAACAACCCGUUCCUUAUUAUGUGGAGAGCUGUGAAAAAAAAUUUGCACUGUCAUGUUGUAUUAGAAGUGAAUGUUAGGAUGUCCUAUGUUUUUGUUGUGUGAGCUUAUUGGGUGUUAGACUAUUGUUUAUUGUAAGGGUAGGUUGAAAUGUCGUAUGCAUAGGUAAGUGGUGACCUCUUUCAUUUUAUGUGGGGAUCUAUGAAGCACCUUUUGCACUGUCGUGUUGUGGUACAAGUGAAUGUUUGCAUGUAUUUUCUUGCUUUUGUUUUUUAUUAAAUGAAUUGUUUGUGAUGGUUUAGAGAAUGGAAAGUUCAUUGUCCAAGAAUUUUGUCUCAUGCAAAAGCUGAAUUGAAGGUACUUUUUUAGAUUGUGUUCAUAAUAGUUGAAUAUUUUGUGAAUUGACAUUGUUGAAUAAAUAAAGAUGGUGGUAUUGUUUUAUUUUGUGAUGUUGCAGCUAUGAGUUAGGCACAAUGUGCUUACUCAAUAUAUUGUUGAUGUGAACCGUAAGCUUAACAACUUUCAACAAGAAAGGAUACAACAAACUCCAUUUAAGUGGAUGGUUGAAAUGGACAAAUUUUUUGACAUUUCUAACAGCCUUAUGAGAGAGCUACUAAGUGGAUGGGCAUCAGAUAAUGAGGCAUUUAGGAUUCGAAAAAAGUUUAGUUCCUUUUUCAGUUGUUGAUAAUUUUUGUAGGUUAUACAUAUUUCUUGGGUUAUGUUUUUUUUAUGUUCCUGGGACUUCUAGGACAUUUAGUUGUUCUGCUUUUAAAUCUUUAGACCUUAGACAAUUUAAAUGCGCUAGAAUUAUAUAACUAGGGGGUGCAGUUUAUAAUGUCUUCUUACCUACAAGCUUGACGAGGGCAUCUGAAGUGUACUAUCAAGAAAACAAUGUUAGUGAAAUAUAUUUGACAAUUUGUGUUGUCGUCUUGCAGGUUAGUGAAUAUUUGUACAAUUAUGUUGUAUUAAUGAAUUGGUGAUUUUGAUUAAAUGUUAAUUACUUGUGUAUUAUUUUUUUAAAAAUAAGUGUGGGCGGUUCACCAUGUGAGUGUUGGUGACCAUGCCCAAUGUAUUGGUUUUCCACGAUUUUUGCACCGAAUGUGUGUAAAUAAUCAUGGAAGAAGGUUACAUGAAGUAUUUUUAUCUGUUGAGGUAUAUUUGUGGUUUGUUAAGUUUUUGGUGCAUGUUAUUGCAGUAAAUUUUGAGUAACUAAAAAAUAAUCAUUUUUUUUUUCAGAUUGUAUUGGAUUGGCUAGAAAUUGCUGAAAAGGAAGGAAUGAAAAUUGUGAAAGAAGCCUUAGCAGAUUCCGAUGAGGGGGUUGAGGAAGGUAGUGAUGGUACAAGUGAGUGGGACAACUUACUUGACCAACACAAACUUUGUGAGAAGAAAGUAGCAGAUAAUGAGAACGGAAUUGUUAAUGUGGAUAAGCAACUUAAAGAGGUCCGACAACUGCUUCUUAAAGAAAAGGAGUGGUCAGUUGGAUUCGUGCGUGGAGCCAACCCAACCUCUCAUGGUGCAACCUAUGGUGGUCCAAACUCAUGCAGUUUGGAUAUUUUGAAAAUGUAUAAAACAUUUUUUUUGCAUUCAAGUUUGACAUGAAAUGGUAAGUACAUAUACUGAAUGUGCAGCAUAAGUAAUUAUAGUCAUUACUUCAUUUGUUGUUAUUGCAUGAUUAAUGAGUUGGUGUUCAAUGUUGUUGUAGUGUCAUUGUGGACAUAAAAAAUAAUAUUUUAACGAGGUUGGAUUUCCAAUAAUUAAGGUCGCGGUCAAGAGAUGAAAACAUGGUAAAAAUUUACAUAUUGCAGUCUUUGAUGUAUUUACUUAUAAUAUUUACUUAGUUAUGUUGAAUGUGCUUGUAGGUUAUGUUAUUUAUAAUUGGGUUGUUAAAUCUGAAUCAAAUUGUUAAUUUUGGAGUGUUGAAUCAAUUUUCAUUCAAUCUGUCUUGCGGUCAGUGUUGAUUAAAAUUUAUUGUUAUUUGUUUUUUAAGUUUUUGGUAAUAGUAAUAAUAGAGUUUGUUGUUGCAGACUUGUGUAAUUGAGGAGAUGAACAUGAAUGGGGGAUAAAUUUCAUGGUGCAGUUCCGAUUACAUGUAAUUUUAUGGGAAUGGUUUAUUCCCAAACCAGGGAAUAUCUUAUUGUCAUUUUGUAAGUUUUGUGUGAAAUUUGUUGGUAUUGGUUAGAAUGGUCAUGUUGACUGUCAAUUUAAAUUUUGAAUUUUUUUGUAGGUGUUUGUGCCAACCGUGUUCAAUGAGCAUUGGUGGUUGUACGCACUCAAUUGUCGGGAGGCAAUUGCAUGUAUUGAACUCCAUUGGUGAUGGAAUUGAAGGUCGACAGAAGAUUGAUAAAG
RNAcentral lists this long non-coding RNA (10553 nucleotides) under Phaseolus vulgaris (common bean). Its description in RNAcentral is "long non-coding RNA (PVUL_LNC002470)". Lineage: Eukaryota; Viridiplantae; Streptophyta; Magnoliopsida; Fabales; Fabaceae. The record is from RNAcentral.